This 443-nucleotide ribosomal RNA is filed under the name uncultured bacterium. RNAcentral describes it as "bacterial SSU rRNA". It matches the Rfam family "Bacterial small subunit ribosomal RNA", at positions 338 to 795 of the family's 1533-position model. The record is from RNAcentral.
CCUACGGGGUGCAGCAGUGGGGAAUCUUGGACAAUGGGCGAAAGCCCGAUCCAGCAAUAUCGCGUGAGUGAAGAGGGCAAUGCCGCUUGUAAAGCUCUUUCGUCGAGUGCGCGAUCAUGACAGGACUCGAGGAAGAAGCCCCGGCUAACUCCGUGCCAGCAGCCGCGGUAAGACGGGGGGGGCAAGUGUUCUUCGGAAUGACUGGGCGUAAAGGGCGCGUAGGCGGUUUAUGCAGUCAGAUGUGAAAUCCCCGGGCUUAACCUGGGAACUGCAUUUGAGACGCAUAGACUAGAGGUCGAGAGAGGGUUGUGGAAUUCCCAGUGUAGAGGUGAAAUUCGUAGAUAUUGGGAAGAACGCCGGUGGCGAAGGCGGCAACCUGGCUCGAUACUGACGCUGAGGCGCGAAAGCGUGGGGAGCAAACAGGAUUAGAUACCCGUGUAGUC